Schistocerca nitens (vagrant locust) is the source of this 1512-nucleotide long non-coding RNA. RefSeq lists it as uncharacterized. The record is from RefSeq and is a predicted model, not a curated record. The transcript is spliced from 2 exons. NCBI's taxonomy places the organism in Eukaryota, Metazoa, Arthropoda, Insecta, Orthoptera, Acrididae.
CACACCCUCACCUGGACACACACACACACGUACGCUCGCUCUUACGCAGGCUUCCGAAUCUGCGCCUCGGCGGCGGUGGGGGCGGCGGAUUUGCAGACCGCUGGCGCGGGGAUCCGCCGCCGGCGACCGGGAGCCGCCAGUCGCUACCCUGUGAGGCGCGCCGCCGAGACGGCCGGUGCUCGGCGCUCUCUGCAACACCCACUACCUGCUUCCGGCGCGCCUGUCGCAACUCCCCGUGCCUCGGCUCGCCACUUUUCGAAACACGGGAGGCGCCGUGACUACUUCAGGUUUCAAGUGAAAAUGGCGCAAGAAUAAAGAUAAUUCACAGUGGCAAGAUUCGCGCUGUGAUUAGGUACCUAUUCUGUUGUUUUUUAUUUUCAUUUUUUUUCAAGAAAACACACAAUCAAACAAAUUUUGGAUGGUGUGUCUAGUACACUGGUUCUAACUGCUCUUCCUACUCCACUAUUAAGAAUUGAGUUGAUGCAUUUAAAACAGUGCAUUUCGGCACUGAAGAUGAAGACCACCCUGGAAGGCCAACUCAAGUCAUAGUUGCAGAAACCAUGGAAGAUGUUGAUUCUGUGAUCCUGGAAGAUCAAAUAGUAACUUCUAAAAACAUUGUAGAGGCCCUGGGAUUAUCCUAAGAACAUGUGGAUCAUAUUAUUUAUGAGAUUUUGGACAUGAGAAAGCUCUCAGUGAAACAGGUUCCCAAAUAUGUCAAUGCAGAGCUAAAGCAUCAAUGAGUGGUUGCUUCAUUGUUCAUUUUGGUCCAGUUUCGUCGGAAUCCAGCGAGAGUUUUGGAGUCUCUAGUGAUCAUGGACGAAACAUGGAUAUACACUUACGAUCCAGAGACCGAAGAACAGCCCAAAGAAUCGAGUCACAGUAGAUAUAAUUUGUCAGUUCUGAGUCACCUACUCAAAAUUAUGUAUAAAUUAUAUCUAAAAAGAGCUAAAUUUUAAUUUUUUUCAAGAAUAAAAAUCAUAUAUGUUUAUACAUGAUUUACAUAUAAUUCUGACUAGGUGACUCAGAACAGACAAAUUAUAUCUCCUGUCCCAGUUCUAUUCCUCGCUCACAUUAUCAAAAUUAUGUGUGAAAUAGCUACAUUUUCAAUUUGUUAUACCUUUCUCACAUUCUCCUUUCCUAAAUUAGCCUAAUAAAAUUAAGGAAACGAAUUCUUCUAUUAUAAAAUCAAUUUUUGUGUAUACAUUUUUAAUAUUUUUAUUUCAAAAAAUAAUUUGGAUAUUAAUCAAGAUUUUGUAAGGCUCUAAUGAGAGCUGACUCAUUUGAGAAAACUAUCUGUCUGGAGUAGCAAGUGGGGAUAGGGCUCCAGUGGAGCAGAGAUUAGAAGUAAUAAUACUAAAAGAAUAUAUUAAGCUGAAAAUUCCAAAUCUUGAAAUUCAUUGUUAUUAUUUUUCAUUUUCUUUAAUCCAUUUCAUCUCAUUUUAAUCUGCUCUGCAUCAAAAAAUUUGAAAAUCCCCAUUAGUUAUUAAUUUCAAAUAUAUGUUUGGCAAAAUA